Molecule: microRNA, 22 nt
Filed under: Saccoglossus kowalevskii
Lineage: Eukaryota; Metazoa; Hemichordata; Enteropneusta; Harrimaniidae
Description: Sko-Mir-4829-P3_5p* (star (passenger))
Source: RNAcentral
CAGGUAUUGGUAAAAGCACAUU